This 45-nucleotide non-coding RNA is filed under the name Schistosoma haematobium. Lineage: Eukaryota; Metazoa; Platyhelminthes; Trematoda; Strigeidida; Schistosomatidae. The record is from RNAcentral.
AUCCAGCUGAUGAGUCCCAAAUAGGAAGAAAUGCGCGUCCUGGAU